GUCUCUCUUCCUGUCCUGUCUAGUUCCUACUUACUGUGUUUCCCAUCCCCCGCUCACACACACACUCACUCUCUCUCUCUCUCAUACAGGAGCGUCUCAUGACAAUCAUAUAGAACUCAUAGGGUAAUGGACUCUGUGUGACCGAGUGAGGAAGCGAGGAUUAUGGUUUUUGAACUCUGGAUUGGCAUCUGAGAUCGUUUGUGGCGAUGCCAGUGGGGCGAGAGAGGCGUGGGAUGGAUCGAAGCGUUCGAUUCAUCCACGUAAUCUUGGCCCUUGAAGGUGAACUGCGUUGAGGUGGCGUUUAUCUAGGGCACUAUUUAAUCUAAACGCCACUGAGAUUUCAAGCGGGUUAGUUUUGGCUUUAAUUAGGAAUCUGGAUGAAGCGGAAGGAGGUCUCAGCGGAAGCUACUUUGCGUUGCGUCAUGAUUGGAAAAUUAUACAAGUAGGGGUUUGACGCAUUGUUUAUCGUGGGUCUCUCAUGUUUCAAGCAUUCGCAAGCAUUUUGGGUCUGGUUGCAAAACUUGGAGGAGUAUGGAUGGAAUGUCUUUGUACAUUCAAGGUGAAAGCCACCUCUCUUUUAGCUGGCUUCGUCACAUACUGGUUUUAGCUAAUCGGGCCUCUGUAGUUUGUCAAUUUCCCAAGUUGUCUCAACAAUGCCGGUUGUUUAACAGUUUUCAUCUCUUCUCGAUGAUAAGUUUCCGUACUUGGCUGCAGAAAAUGUCGCAUCACUGAGUCUUUUGGGGAAAUAUUAAGUGUAAACUAGCCAUGUGUGGGCAUUGAAUGUCAACCGUUUGUUGACUUACCUGUGGACCCCGUAUCAUGAAUGAAUAGAGACUUCCGAGCUGUUUCAAUUGAAAUCAUAGGGCUUAUAGUGUUGAGCUCAACGUAUUUUCUGUCAGGUUAGGAUUUUCGUCACAACUGACCUUGCUAUUUGAGAUCAGUAAGUGUAACCUGAGCACCCAUGGAGACUGCAACCAGCGGUGAGGAGAUAAUGUGCCGAAUCUUGCAGCUGGGGAAAGGUACAUUAUAAUAUGAAAUACAUCCAGAAGAAUAUUAUGAGCGA
Physcomitrium patens is the source of this 1063-nucleotide non-coding RNA. Lineage: Eukaryota; Viridiplantae; Streptophyta; Bryopsida; Funariales; Funariaceae. The record is from RefSeq and is a predicted model, not a curated record.